AGAGGGCACAGCAAUGGAGGCUGCCAAUGGCUUCCAGUCUCAGCUUCACAGAUGAAAAGGACUCAACUUGCCUCUGUAAAACAGCCAUGGAGGUGCAGUGAAGCGGGGGAUCGCUUCCUGGUGGUGAAUGUAAGCAGCUCUUCUGUGGCAUGGAGCAAUCACUAGGUGCAGUAACAGUACACUGCAAUGUGCAAAGAGGGAAAUGAAGACGAGCUCAUCCAAAGGAAACUACACAGGCAUUUUAGAUCAGCCCAAUGCAAUUAUCCAAGCUGGAAUCAUUCCAGGACACCAAGC
This 294-nucleotide long non-coding RNA is filed under the name Heterocephalus glaber (naked mole-rat). Its description in RNAcentral is "lncRNA (ENSHGLG00000049477.1)". Lineage: Eukaryota; Metazoa; Chordata; Mammalia; Rodentia; Bathyergidae. The record is from RNAcentral.